RNAcentral lists this ribosomal RNA (492 nucleotides) under uncultured bacterium. RNAcentral's name for it is "partial 16S ribosomal RNA". It matches the Rfam family "Bacterial small subunit ribosomal RNA", at positions 29 to 507 of the family's 1533-position model. The record is from RNAcentral.
AGUGAACGCUGGCGGUAGGCCUAACACAUGCAAGUCGAACGGCGGCACAGUAAGAGCUUGCUCUUACGGGUGGCGAGUGGCGGACGGGUGAGGAAUACAUCGGCAUCUACUUUUUCGUGGGGGAUAACGUAGGGAAACUUACGCUAAUACCGCAUACGACCUACGGGUGAAAGCAGGGGAUCUUCGGACCUUGCGCGAUUGAAUGAGCCGAUGUCGGAUUAGCUAGUUGGCGGGGUAAAGGCCCACCAAGGCGACGAUCCGUAGCUGGUCUGAGAGGAUGAUCAGCCACACUGGAACUGAGACACGGUCCAGACUCCUACGGGAGGCAGCAGUGGGGAAUAUUGGACAAAGGGCGCAAGCCUGAUCCAGCCAUACCGCGUGGGUGAAGAAGGCCUUCGGGUUGUAAAGCCCUUUUGUUGGGAAAGAAAAGCAGCAGGUUAAUACCCCGCUGUUCUGACGGUACCCAAAGAAUAAGCACCGGCUAACUUCGUG